This 490-nucleotide ribosomal RNA is filed under the name uncultured bacterium. RNAcentral's name for it is "partial 16S ribosomal RNA". It matches the Rfam family "Bacterial small subunit ribosomal RNA", at positions 29 to 507 of the family's 1533-position model. The record is from RNAcentral.
AUUGAACGCUGGCGGCAGGCCUAACACAUGCAAGUCGAACGGUAACAGGGAUCCGCUUGCUGAUUCGCUGACGAGUGGCGGACGGGUGAGUAAUGUCUGGGAAACUGCCUGAUGGAGGGGGAUAACUACUGGAAACGGUAGCUAAUACCGCAUAACGUCGCAAGACCAAAGAGGGGGACCUUCGGGCCUCUUGCCAUCGGAUGUGCCCAGAUGGGAUUAGCUAGUAGGUGGGGUAACGGCUCACCUAGGCGACGAUCCCUAGCUGGUCUGAGAGGAUGACAGCAGACCCGGGAACAGAGGCACGGCCGACACCCCGGGGGGAGGAAGCGGUGGGGAAUAUUGCACAAGGGGGGAAGGCCUGAUACAGCACUCCGGGGGGAAGGAAGAGGCCGUAGGGGUUGUAAAGUUCUUAAGGGGGGGGGGAAGGAAAAAAAGUUAAUCCGUUAUCUCAUUGACGUUACCGGAAGAAGAAGCCCCGGCUAACUCCGUG